GAGCUGUGAGGAAUUUCUGCGCUCUUAAGAUGGAUGGGGUCCAUCGUCAACAUCUGAUUCUCAGAUGAGAUCUGGUCAGCGCAACUGAGCUC
Hevea brasiliensis (rubber tree) is the source of this 92-nucleotide small nucleolar RNA. RefSeq annotates it as small nucleolar RNA snoR114. The record is from RefSeq and is a predicted model, not a curated record. The transcript has a single exon. Lineage: Eukaryota; Viridiplantae; Streptophyta; Magnoliopsida; Malpighiales; Euphorbiaceae.